This 53-nucleotide non-coding RNA is filed under the name unclassified sequences. RNAcentral's name for it is "RAGATH-5 RNA". It matches the Rfam family "RAGATH-5 RNA". The record is from RNAcentral.
CCGGAAGCCCCGGCAGGGUCACACCGGUCAAAGCGGCCCCGCCCCAUCUUCCC